Molecule: non-coding RNA, 144 nt
Organism: Gossypium raimondii (Peruvian cotton)
Lineage: Eukaryota; Viridiplantae; Streptophyta; Magnoliopsida; Malvales; Malvaceae
Source: Rfam
CUAUUCAAAUUUCAUCCAUUCCUAUUGUUAAAAAUUGACAUGGCUAAUAAAAUAAUCAAACAAUGACAUGGAGCAUGCCACAUGUACCUUAUGCUACAUAUAGAGGUUAGUUUUUAACAGAAGAAAUGGAUGCAAUUUUAAUCA